Arachis ipaensis is the source of this 2141-nucleotide non-coding RNA. The record is from RefSeq and is a predicted model, not a curated record. NCBI's taxonomy places the organism in Eukaryota, Viridiplantae, Streptophyta, Magnoliopsida, Fabales, Fabaceae.
AAAGCUUUUGGAAUCCAAAUGGUUAUGUUAUUGUUGCUUUUUAUAAAAAAACAUUUGUUAAGAAACAUGAGCAAAAGAGGUAUGUUGUUCUUUCUCUCUCUCUCUCUCUCUCUCUCUGUAAUUUAUGUUCUUCUUCUUCCUUUCUCGAGUCGGUUCGAUGGGUUUUGAGAAGGAGAAAAAGGGAAAAAUUGAUUGGUCAUAUGACUGGGUGAAUGAUGAUGUUAGAAAGUGUUCUUUGCUGUUUGUGGAUGAAGAAGCUGUGAAAGAGAUAGAUAAAAAUAAGGUUGUUAGGCAUGGUUCUGGGGUUCGUUUAGAGUUGCUACCAUAUUUUGUUAGUGAUCGUGUGUUUCAUAGGGGGUGAAUGUUUUGAGUAUUUCUAUAUGUAUAGUUGUGUUCUAGAAGAGUUGAAGGUGAAACUCCCUUUCACAAAUUUUGAAUGCCAGGCUUUGAAACAGUUGAACUGUGCCCCUUCACAACUUCAUCCCAAUAGUUGGGCUUUUCUGCGAAGUUUUGAAGUGUUAAUGGAGUUUUUGGAGGAGGCUCCUUAUCUGGAGUUAUUUUUGCGUUAUUCCAGGCCAAGGGUGUUUGGAAAGGUGGCUGGGUGAACUUGAAUAGUUCUCCGGGAUUUGCUGUCUUCAAGCUUUAUAAGUCCUCGUUUAAAGACUUCAAAAAAAUGUUUUUGAAGGUUAGGAAUGCUGAGGGUGAUUUCCCUUUUUAUUUGGACGAACAAUUGGGGGAAAUAUUUCCCUUGUGGUGGUGUUCGGAGCCUCAGAAUAUUCUAGAGCCUGAAACCAUUAGUUAGAGGAAUGAAUGCAUUAUCGAAUAUUUAGUGGAGUCUGUUGAUCGAAAAGAGUUGAUUUCAGUGUUUGAUUUGCUUCAAUGUGAAGAAAAUAAGGAAGCUGUUGUAGAGUAUUUAGGAGGAAAAUAUCCCGGCGUAUCUGCUGCUACCCUAAGAGCUUGGGUGAAGAAUAAGAACCUCGAAAAGGAAGGUUCGACGUCAAAGCCAGAUAAGACGGUUGGUGCGGGCGAGGUUAAUCAGCCUUGGGCGAAAAGAAAAAGGUUAUCUGAGGGUUUUGAGGAAGAGAGGGAUGAGCUUCCUAUUGAGGAGAUACAUGCGUUCAUGGAUAAUCAGAAGAGGUUGCAUGUUACUGCCGACCAAAGUGACGACUCAUCUCUUUGGGGAAAAGAUUUUCCCUAUAUGGUCGCUGCCGACGAGGUUGGGCAAUCAUCAGCAGAUAUCUCGUUGGCGAAUGAGGUCGGCGACAUCAACAUUGGUCAAAUGCAGGCAUGUCCAUUUGUGGUUUGGUUUAUAUUUAUUUAUUUUUUUUUUGUGUUGAUUCUGUACCAUGUCUUUGCCAGGUUCUUGGGUUUCGAUUGGCUAGUCUGGGUCGUAGCCAGGAGAAUAAACAUAAGAAACUUAUUGGGCAAAAGCAGGAUCCGGGUUUGAAGGAGGAGUUGGUGUUAAAAAAAACAUGACGAUAGCAGAGUUGGAGUGCAAAUUGUCUGAUAAGGAGAAAGAGCUGAAGCUGAUGAAAGAGAAUUAUGCCAGAGAGGUUGAAGAUUUGAAGAAAAAGGAAGUCGACCUUUCUAGUAUGAGCACCCAAAUGAUUGAAGUGACUGCGAAGUUAAAAGAAAUGGAGAAGAAUAAACAGGCAGAGAUAUUUGAUUUGUUUGUUGAGGGUUUUGAACGAGCUUCGUUACAGGCAAAGUUUUUGGUGCCUGACUUUGAUUGCUCUCCCAUGGAUCCGGGAAAGAUCGUCCGAGAUUGAGUGAUGGUGGAAGAUGAUGGAGCGGCCGAAGAUGAAGAUGAAGAUGAAAAUGUUGAAUGAUUUGUGUAUUUGAACUUUUAAUUUGGUUUAUAGUAGUUGUUGAUCGAGAGCUGUUGACUAUUUAUACUCUUUGCUUUCGUUUUGCCUAUUAGAAAGGGUAGUUUGUUUGGUAAUAGUUUUGUUUGAUGUGUUUGAUAAUUUUGCAUAUUUGCAUGGUUAGUAGAUUUUGUAGGUGUUGCUGGCUGAAUUUAUUUCGAAUAUUUGCACAGUUCAGUGUUUGUUUGGUUUGAUAUCUCUUCAGAGAUAUUUAUUUGAAGUUUUUAGUUUGUAAUCAUGGUUUGAUUUAUUUGACGGAUAUGUUUGGAUUGAUAA